RNAcentral lists this ribosomal RNA (199 nucleotides) under uncultured bacterium. Its description in RNAcentral is "partial 16S ribosomal RNA". It matches the Rfam family "Bacterial small subunit ribosomal RNA", at positions 326 to 539 of the family's 1533-position model. The record is from RNAcentral.
ACGCUCGACACCUACGGGAUGCAGCAGUCGGGAAUAUUGCGCAAUGGAGGGAACUCUGACGCAGUGACGCCGCGUAUAGGAAGAAGGUUUUCGGAUUGUAAACUAUUUUAGACAGGGAAGAAUAAAGACAGUACCUGUAGAAUAAGCUCCGGCUAACUACGUGCCAGCAGCCACGGUAAUCUGAGCGGGCUGGCAAGGC